RNAcentral lists this long non-coding RNA (262 nucleotides) under Salvia miltiorrhiza (redroot sage). Its description in RNAcentral is "long non-coding RNA (SMIL_LNC001989)". The record is from RNAcentral. Lineage: Eukaryota; Viridiplantae; Streptophyta; Magnoliopsida; Lamiales; Lamiaceae.
CCGGACCAUACAUAUACAAUGGGUCGGUCCAGUCCGGUCCGGUCCGAACCCGUCGAUCCGGGCGGGUUCGGUUCGGGUUUGCUCACCCCUAGCUGGGCACGGGAUUUAAUGAUGAUGUUGAUGCAGUGGAGAAAGAGUCCCACCACUUUAUGAGAUGUGUGGUUGAGAUUGAAUUUUGGGUGGAUUUUUUGUAAAUAAAGAGUGUUUGUAAGGAUAAAAUAUAAAGGUGGAUGGUGGGACCAUGACUUUAAAAUGAAAGUGG